RNAcentral lists this long non-coding RNA (622 nucleotides) under Homo sapiens (human). RNAcentral's name for it is "non-protein coding lnc-SLC13A1-2:1". The record is from RNAcentral. Lineage: Eukaryota; Metazoa; Chordata; Mammalia; Primates; Hominidae.
GUCUGCUCUGCUGCCUGCCACGGGGUCCACUGCCCAGAAGGCCACAGCCGCAGUGAUUUUUCUUCAUGGAUGGGAAGAUAUCGGGCACAGAUGGGCAGAGACUUUGCAGGUAUCAGAAGUUCACAUAUCAAAUGUAUCUGCCCACAUGUGCUAAUUAUGCCCAUGACAUUAAAUAUGAACAUGGCUAUAUCUUCUUGGUUUGAUGUUUUUGGGCUUUCACCAGAUUCCCAGGAGGAGGAACCUGGAAUUAAAUAGGCAGCAGAAAAUGUAAAACUUUUGGUAGAUCAAGAGGUGUAGAAUGGCAUUCUUUCUGACAAUUAUUUUGGGAGGAUUUUCUCAGGGAGGAGCUUUUAUUUUUAUGUACUGCUCUUACCACACAGCAGAAACUGGCAGGUGUCACCGCAUGUGACUGCUGGCUUUCACUUUGGCCUUCCUUUCCAAAGGGUCCUAUUAGUGGUACUAAUAGAGAUAUUUCUAUUCUCCAGUGCCAUGGAGAUUGUGACCCAUUAUUACCCCAAUGUCUGCUUUCCUUAUUUUUUUCUUAUUGUUUUAUAUUGGUAAAUCCAGCCAAUGUAAACUUUAAAACCUGUGAAAGCAUAAUGCACAUUUCAUGUCAACAGAA